RNAcentral lists this long non-coding RNA (218 nucleotides) under Capsicum annuum. RNAcentral's name for it is "long non-coding RNA (CANN_LNC016295)". The record is from RNAcentral. Lineage: Eukaryota; Viridiplantae; Streptophyta; Magnoliopsida; Solanales; Solanaceae.
UUGGUUACUUUUUCUACCAUCUCCCCUUAGCUUAAAGCCAUUAUUCUAAAUCUGUGAAUAACUUAACGAACUCUAAAUCAAACUAAAGCCACUCUUCUCUAGAGUAUGAGAUACAAUAAUACUCAUUAAUAUUGAACCCAUCCUAAAAGACUACCCUUGAUAAUGUAUGGCCUACUUCUAGUACUUUCUUUUGAUACACAAUUCUUAGCUUUCUAUAG